GUGUAAAUCAGUUUAAUUUGAAUUUAAAUUAAUUAUUUUUAAAAUAGGUUUAAAAAAAAUAUUUUUAUAUUUUAGUAUUAUUAAGAAAAAAUUAAUGUAAUUAUAAUUUAUUAGUAUAGUGAUAGAAAUUUAAUUUAAAAUUAAUAAAGAAAAGUUUAUUUUUUGUACCUUGUGUAUCAGGGUUUAUUAAUUAAAUUUUAUUAAUAAAAAUAAAUUUCUCGAUUUUAAAAGAGUGAAUUAUUUAUUAAUUUUAUUGUAAAAUAACUAUUUAAAAUAAAUAAUUGGUAAUGAAACGUUAUUCGUUUUUAAAUAUAUCUAGUUUUUAAAGAAAAAAAUUCAAUUUUAUUUAUAUAAAUAUUUUAAUUAUUUUAAAAAUAAAAAUUUUGUAUAAAUUAUAUUAUUUGGGAUAAGCUAGAUAAUAAAAAGUUAUAAAUUAAUCAUUAAUUUAGUAUUAAAAAUGUAGAAUUAGAAAUUUUCAUCAUUUAAUUUGUUAUAAUUAAUUUAUUGAUUAUAAAAAUUUAUAUUAAUUUUAAGUUUUUUAUUUAAAUAUUAAAUAAAAUAGUUUUAUUUAAGUAAUUAUGAUAAAAUUAGUAUAAUAUUAUGUAAUUUUGUAUUUAUAAAUUAAAUGUUAUAAAAAGGAAUUCGGCAAAUAUAUUUUUCGCCUGUUUAUUAAAAACAUGUCUUUUUGAUUUUAAUUUAAAGUCUAGCCUGCCCAAUGAGUAGUUGAAUGGCCGCAGUAUUUUGACUGUGCAAAGGUAGCAUAAUCAUUAGUUUCUUAAUUAGAAACUGGUAUGAAAGGUUGGACGAGAAAAUAACUGUCUCUUUAUAAAUUUUUUAGAAUUUUAUUUUUAAGUUAAAAAGCUUAAAUUUAUUUAAAAGACGAGAAGACCCUAUAGAGUUUUAUAUAAUUUUAUUUAAUUAUAAAUAUAGAAUUAUUAAAAUUUUAUUUGAAAUUAUAUUUGAUUGGGGUGAUUAAAAAAUUUAAAUAACUUUUUUUAUAUAAAAACAUUAAUUUAUGAAUUAUUGAGCCAUAAUAUAUUAUGAUUAAAAGAUUAAAUUACCUUAGGGAUAACAGCGUAAUUUCUUUUUAGAGUUCAAAUCGAUAAAGAAGUUUGCGACCUCGAUGUUGGAUUAAAAUUUAAUUUUGGUGUAGAAGCUUGAAUAUUAGGUCUGUUCGACCUUUAAAAUUUUACAUGAUCUGAGUUUAAACCGGUGUAAGCCAGGUUGGUUUCUAUCUUUAAAUUAUUAAAAUAUUUUAGUACGAAAGGACCAAAUAUUAUUAUUAAAUAUUUAAAUUUGAACAUUAUUAUUAUUUUGGCAGAUUAGUGCAUUAAAUUUAGAAUUUAAUUAUGUAAUUUAAUAUUACAA
This 1368-nucleotide ribosomal RNA is filed under the name Liogluta microptera. RNAcentral describes it as "16S ribosomal RNA". Lineage: Eukaryota; Metazoa; Arthropoda; Insecta; Coleoptera; Staphylinidae. The record is from RNAcentral.